This 492-nucleotide ribosomal RNA is filed under the name uncultured bacterium. RNAcentral's name for it is "partial 16S ribosomal RNA". It matches the Rfam family "Bacterial small subunit ribosomal RNA", at positions 28 to 507 of the family's 1533-position model. The record is from RNAcentral.
GAUGAACGCUAGCUACAGGCUUAACACAUGCAAGUCGAGGGGAAACGACAUCGAAAGCUUGCUUUUGAUGGGCGUCGACCGGCGCACGGGUGAGUAACGCGUAUCCAACCUGCCCACCACUUGGGGAUAACCUUGCGAAAGUAAGACUAAUACCCAAUGAUAUCUCUAGAAGACAUCUGAAAGAGAUUAAAGAUUUAUCGGUGAUGGAUGGGGAUGCGUCUGAUUAGCUUGUUGGCGGGGUAACGGCCCACCAAGGCAACGAUCAGUAGGGGUUCUGAGAGGAAGGUACCCCACAGUGGAACCGAGACCCGGUCCAAACUCCUACGGGAGGCAGCAGUGAGGAAUAUUGGUCAAUGGACGAGAGUCUGAACCAGCCAAGUAGCGUGCAGGAAGACGGCCCUAUGGGUUGUAAACUGCUUUUAUAAGGGAAUAAAGUGAGUCUCGUGAGACUUUUUGCAUGUACCUUAUGAAUAAGGACCGGCUAAUUCCGUG